This 253-nucleotide ribosomal RNA is filed under the name uncultured bacterium. RNAcentral's name for it is "partial 16S ribosomal RNA". It matches the Rfam family "Bacterial small subunit ribosomal RNA", at positions 524 to 776 of the family's 1533-position model. The record is from RNAcentral.
UACGGAGGGUGCAAGCGUUAAUCGGAAUUACUGGGCGUAAAGCGCACGCAGGCGGUUUUUUAAGGCAGAUGUGAAAUCCCCGGGCUCAACCUGGGAACUGCAUCUGAUACUGGAGAGCUUGAGUCUGGUAGAGGGGGAUGGAAUUCCAGGUGUAGCGGUGAAAUGCGUAGAGAUCCGGAGGAAUACCGGUGGCGAAGGCAGCCCCCUGGACGUGUACUGACGCUCAGGCACGAAAGCGUGGGGAGCAAACAGG